RNAcentral lists this ribosomal RNA (569 nucleotides) under Microsporidium sp. BPLA1 VER1. RNAcentral describes it as "SSU rRNA". It matches the Rfam family "Microsporidia small subunit ribosomal RNA", at positions 1 to 605 of the family's 1311-position model. Lineage: Eukaryota; Fungi; Microsporidia. The record is from RNAcentral.
CACCAGGUUGAUUCUGCCUGACGUAGAUGCUAGUCUCUAAGAUUAAGCCAUGCAUGUCUAUGUAACAAGGACGAACAGCUCAGUACAACUGCGAUGAUUUAGUCUGUCUGUGUGCGAUAACUACGUGAAAAUGUAGCUAAGAGGGGACAGAAUAAGACGCAGGACUAUCAGUUAGUUGGUAGUGUAAUGGACUACCAAGACGAUGACGGUUGACGGGGAAUCAGGGUUCUGUACCGGAGAGGGAGCCUGAGAGAUUGCUCCCACGUCCAAGGACGGCAGCAGGCGCGAAAAUUGCCCACUGUUGUAGGAGGCAGUUAUGAGACGUGAAGAUGAGUGCUUGGCAAAGAGAAGCAGGAGAAUUGGAGGGCAAGUUUGGUGCCAGCAGCCGCGGUAAUACCGACUCCAAGAGUGUGUGUGAGAGAUGCUGCAGUUAAAAAGUCCGUAGUCGUAGAAACGUAAACAGAGACUGGGUCUCUAGCAGAAGUGAUGGAAAAGCCAAUGGGGAACAUAGUAUACCAGGGCGAGAGAUGAAAUGUCAAGACCCCUGGUGGACUCACCGAGGCGAAAGC